RNAcentral lists this ribosomal RNA (253 nucleotides) under uncultured bacterium. RNAcentral's name for it is "partial 16S ribosomal RNA". It matches the Rfam family "Bacterial small subunit ribosomal RNA", at positions 524 to 776 of the family's 1533-position model. The record is from RNAcentral.
UACGAAGGGGGCUAGCGUUGCUCGGAAUCACUGGGCGUAAAGGGUGCGUAGGCGGGUCUUUAAGUCAGGGGUGAAAUCCUGGAGCUCAACUCCAGAACUGCCUUUGAUACUGAAGAUCUUGAGUUCGGGAGAGGUGAGUGGAACUGCGAGUGUAGAGGUGAAAUUCGUAGAUAUUCGCAAGAACACCAGUGGCGAAGGCGGCUCACUGGCCCGAUACUGACGCUGAGGCACGAGAGCGUGGGGAGCAAACAGG